RNAcentral lists this ribosomal RNA (484 nucleotides) under uncultured bacterium. RNAcentral's name for it is "partial 16S ribosomal RNA". It matches the Rfam family "Bacterial small subunit ribosomal RNA", at positions 30 to 507 of the family's 1533-position model. The record is from RNAcentral.
AUUGAACGCUGGCGGCAGGCCUAACACAUGCAAGUCGAGCGGAUGAACGGAGCUUUCUCCUGUAUUCCGCUGCCGACUGGUGUGUAAUUCCUACGUAUCUGCCUUGUCUUUUUGUAUAACGUCCCUUAACGGGCGCUAAUCCCGCAUACGUCCUUCUGGUGAAACUGGUGGUUCUUCGGACCUCACGCUAUCUGAUGAGCCUAGGUCGGAUUAGCUAGUUGGUGUGGUAAAGGCCUACCAAGGCGACGAUCCGUAACUGGUCUGAGAGGAUGAUAAGUCACACUGGAACUGAGACACGGUCCAGACUCCUACGGGAGGCAGCAGUGGGGAAUAUUGGACAAUGGGCGAAAGCCUGAUACAGCAAAGCCGCGUGUGUGAAGAAGGUCUUCGGAUUGUAAAGCACUGUAAGUAGGGAGGAAGGGAAGUAAGAUAAAAAAUAGCUGUAUUGACGGUACCAAAAGAAUAAGCACCGGCUAACUACGUG